UGGGCGUUAAGUUGCAGGGUAUAGACCCGAAACCCGGUGAUCUAGCCAUGGGCAGGUUGAAGGUUGGGUAACACUAACUGGAGGACCGAACCGACUAAUGUUGAAAAAUUAGCGGAUGACCUGUGGCUGGGGGUGAAAGGCCAAUCAAACCGGGAGAUAGCUGGUUCUCCCCGAAAGCUAUUUAGGUAGCGCCUCGUGAAUUCAUCUCCGGGGGUAGAGCACUGUUUCGGCUAGGGGGCCAUCCCGGCUUACCAACCCGAUGCAAACUGCGAAUACCGGAGAAUGUUAUCACGGGAGACACACGGCGGGUGCUAACGUCCGUCGUGAAGAGGGAAACAACCCAGACCGCCAGCUAAGGUCCCAAAGUCAUGGUUAAGUGGGAAACGAUGUGGGAAGGCCCAGACAGCCAGGAUGUUGGCUUAGAAGCAGCCAUCAUUUAAAGAAAGCGUAAUAGCUCACUGGUCGAGUCGGCCUGCGCGGAAGAUGUAACGGGGCUAAACCAUGCACCGAAGCUGCGGCAGCGACGCU
RNAcentral lists this ribosomal RNA (528 nucleotides) under Salmonella enterica subsp. enterica serovar Dublin. Its description in RNAcentral is "partial 23S ribosomal RNA". It matches the Rfam family "Bacterial large subunit ribosomal RNA", at positions 689 to 1215 of the family's 2925-position model. The record is from RNAcentral. Lineage: Bacteria; Pseudomonadati; Pseudomonadota; Gammaproteobacteria; Enterobacterales; Enterobacteriaceae.